GGAGGAGGAGCAGCGGGGCGGGAUGGAUGGGGCCGGGAGGAGGAGCUGGAAGGAUGAAGAGUAUCUGGGUUUGCUGAUUUGUGUGAUGGGAACUGGGCUCACUGUAUGAGUCUUCUGAUUUUGACUGCUGUCUCAGCAAUAUUAGGUUUCUAAAAGAAAACUAUUAAAAUUCAUGCUGUUUGCUACUAAAAUACAACUCCAGAACAUCUGACCUCCACAACAUAUGCAGUAGAAUCUUAAAGCUUGUGCCUUGACAAUCCUUGGAAUUAAACCUUAGAAAGAACAGAGAACUUGACUUCAUUAAGGGAAUGGCAGUGCCUGCCUUCUUGGAAGGACACACAGACAAGACAGAAGAUCAGCCCUAAGGAUGCAGAAGGGAGAAUGAACAUGCAAGAGCUGCCUGCUAUCAGCACUCACUGUGUCUGGAAGAAUCAUUUAAUUUCAAGAACUCUGCUGGCACAGAAGGAUGUUUAGCAGAAGCCCACAUGAAUUAAGUGUUGUGCAAGGCAGCCUUGUAGUGGUAAUUUUGGAUGCAAGUUUUGAGAAACCCAGCAUUCAGCAUAUUCUUCCCUGUUUAAAAGCACUAUCAUACAUUUUACAGAACGUCAGGCUAUUAUGAGUUAUUUGCAGUAAAACAUUCAAAAUUAUUGUUUUCAUAGGUCAAAUUAUCUCAAGUACCUUAAAUGUUCCCCUGCAGAGAGAAUCUAAUGCCCGAGCUCUCAUGCACACACAGUGCAUUUGUUAAUCCAACCCUCUGAAUUUGCUCACAGGCAGAAUUAAACCUGAAGAAUCAGACCUGAACAUGUUAUCUUUAAAAACAAGAAAAUGUCUAAGAUAAAAAGCAAGCACAGCAAGCAGAAUAUGCUGUCAUCUAGAGCAUGAACAUUUGAAUGAAUCAGAAUAAUUUCAGUCCUCAAUUUAAUUUCAUGCAUAAGACAAGCACACUUACUUGCCACCUAUUAAGAGAACACAAAUUUUGUUCCACAGCUAGUCAGCUCUUGAAUUCCUGCAUCCAAUUUGAAAAACUAAGUCUUUAUUUCAAAAUUUUCCCAGAACAGGGAUUAACUAUGAUGAUUCGGACAUGAAAUUCUAAUUCAGGUACUAACCUUGAAAUUCAGAUUCUGACUUGAG
Molecule: long non-coding RNA, 1131 nt
Organism: Passer domesticus (house sparrow)
Lineage: Eukaryota; Metazoa; Chordata; Aves; Passeriformes; Passeridae
Exons: 3
Source: RefSeq, a predicted model, not a curated record